CGGGGGUGGGGGGGGCCCUCGGGCCAGGCCAGCCUGCAGAGGCGCUGGCACUAGUACCACGGACGCGGAGAAUCGCAAAGACAAGCCUUCCAGGCCCGUCUCCACCGCCAGGGGCUCCGUGACCUCUGGCUGUGACCUCGGGUCACGGAGCCCAGGCCUCAGUUUCCCCACUCCGCCCGAGUGGCCAAGGAGGGGAGCGCUCACGUCACAACACGCCCUGUCUAGCCUCGGAGUCCUACCUUCCCCGGCUGGGCGAGUCGGUGUGUUUCGGAAAGGUGACAGGAGAUGUGUCGUUGCUCUUUUUCUGAAUUCGUUCUGAUGAUGGAGACGGGACGGCGGUGGAGCUGCAUCGGGGCGGCCAGUGAGUGUCCUGGCGUAACUUGGCACGAAAGGGUCGGUACUUAGGAGGGGCGCUGGCCAGACCAGGUGUUCUUCGACGGCCACCGUGGCUCCGUGUUGAGAGCUUGAAACACACUUGUGUUCUGUGCUGCAUCACCUCUCUUUUAUUUUUAUUUAUUUUUUGGUCUCAGUGGUACCCCGGCCUGCAUGGUGGCGAGGGUGGUCCGGAAAAGCUGUGAUUGAUUGAUUGGUGUAGACAUGCCUUUGACCUUCACCUCACCUUUUCCUACCAGUAACCACUUUGAGAUCCUGUUGCUGCAGGAGUUCAGGGAAAACCCAUCUGUGAUAUUAUUUAGGGAAGGGUGACCGCGCCCUGGCUUCUGCAGAGUGUUGAGUAAGUCGCCCUGCUGCUCAUUCUGGAAAGAACCUGCCGCUGGCACGGGAUCAGGGAUAAACCCAUGAUGUUGCGCGGCGGCGGUUUCUGUUUAUGGGCUGGUGUUCACACAACACGCUUCGCCAGGAUGUGACCGGCUCCGUGUAAACCUCCCGUGACCGCACAGUGUGUGUGUGACGCCUUGCGUCUCAGGGACGUGCCCGGGGCUGCGUGCCCCCUGGGCCAGUGGUCCGUCCCCACGUAGCUCCUUGUUGGAAAAGGUGGACAUUUGGUGGAUGUUUUCUGUGAAUAAUUAUUAAAAAAUAAUGUCACCGAAAGCGUAAGAGCAGCUCCGUGGUUGGACUUUUUCAUUUCAGUAUUU
Molecule: long non-coding RNA, 1094 nt
Organism: Myotis brandtii (Brandt's bat)
Lineage: Eukaryota; Metazoa; Chordata; Mammalia; Chiroptera; Vespertilionidae
Exons: 2
Source: RefSeq, a predicted model, not a curated record